UACGUAGGGGGCCAGCGUUGCUCGGAAUUACUGGGCGUAAAGGGUUCGUAGGUGGUGCGGUAAGUUGGAAGUGAAAUCUUUGGGCUUAACCCAGAGGCUGCUUUCAAAACUGCCGUGCUCGAGUGCGAGAGAGGUCAGUGGAAUUGCAGGUGUAGCGGUGAAAUGCGUAGAGAUCCGGAGGAACCCCAGAGGCGAAGGCGGCAGCCUGGUUGGCUCCUGACGCUCGGACACGACAGCAUGGGGAGCGAACGGG
RNAcentral lists this ribosomal RNA (253 nucleotides) under uncultured prokaryote. RNAcentral's name for it is "partial 16S ribosomal RNA". It matches the Rfam family "Bacterial small subunit ribosomal RNA", at positions 524 to 776 of the family's 1533-position model. The record is from RNAcentral.